GAAGUCUGUCACAUGAGCCUUGACAUAUGCCAGUGGAGAUUUCACAAUUACACAAUAAAUACAUAAAUGUGCCCCGAUAAAAAUGAUUAAAAAAAAAAAAUCAACUGUUUUACUUAUUGUAGAUGUGCUGUGCUUUAAAAACACCCCAAACAUUGAAUUACUGAAACCGAAAUGCAAGUACAACUAAUGAUAAUGAAGUGUGGUUAAAAAACAAAAACAAAAAAAAAACAAAGUGGGUUAAAUCAGUUUUCCAGUUUCUUUUUAAUCUGGUUCUAUAGACUGUAAAGGUUCUUGACACGUGCUUUGGUAGUUUGGAUUGUGUUUCAGCCACGUGUUAAACAUAGAAACAAGGAGAAAUUCCAGUCCAAUACAUGCAUUUCAGUCUGAGCUACUUCUAUUAUAAAUCAAAUCCUAAUCCUAAAACUAGUGUUAAGUUUAGGGCUACAUUUGAGCCAUGUUUGAUGACGUUGAUUGGGUUAGUGUUCCAGCCACAUGUACUAAUGCAUCCACUUUGACCUUAUCUGUAUGAACCAAACCCAACUACUAGCUCAUGGUUAAGGUUACAAAUGAACCAUGUUUUAACUUAUGGAGUUAAACAAUUAGAGGGUUCCCACUAAUUCUGUUAUUCACCCUAAUCAUGAAAAGAGUGGAUGUUAAAAGAGCAACACUAUCAAUAUCUUCCGUUUUAGUAGACUUUUUUUCAUUUUUUAGCUUCUGGGUCAAAACUUGUUUACCGUAUGAACCUUUUUACAGUCUUUCCAGAUCAAUAGGAGUUACAGUGCAAAUAAAAUCCUUAGAUCAGAGCAUCAUAUCAGUGCACCAUCCUACCAUUACACCAUGGACUAUGCCACAUUUUCUUCUUCCAGUCUACUCUGUCGCUUCCCUUCGCAUAACUUCAGAUGGUGUGCUUGCCGCCGUAGCAUCCCUCGGUUCAGUCAGUCCAUAUCUGUGUGUGUACUGAAUUGUGUAUACAUAACAAAAGUGUCUUAAUGUCUGUUUCUCUGGAGAUUCUCAUUGUAUUUUAGCGGUAUCCUCAUGAAUCGAUGAACCUCAACCAUUGACUUGGAUGUGCGUUCUUGUACCAUCAUGACAUAGACAAUACUGUGUCCUGUAGCUCUUUGUCCAACAAUCGGAUCUUUUAUCUUUCUCCCAUGGUGCGUUCUGUCGGCUAGCUGCUUUUAUUUAACCCUGAUUUCUCUCUCUCGCUCUCUCUCUCUCUCUCUCUCUCUCUCUCUCUCUCUCUCUCUCUGUGACCAAACCAAGUCACCCGAUGGCAAAUACAACUACUACUAUUGCUACUCCUACUAUUCAAUGCUGUUAACGUUGUAAAUCUUGCUCUUGUGGCUUCUGCAUGAAAAUCAAGAAAUUAGUAGGACCGAUGUUUCACUGCCCUUGAUAGAACAAAAAAGAAAAAAAAUUGAUCUUUUAUGGACUUUUAUGGACUGUUACAAGUUGUAUAGUGAGUGAUACUGUCCCUAACCCACUGUAUUAUGUGCUUGUUAUAACUAUUGCUCUAUGACAAGCUUAUAGCAUCAAUAUAUGGGAAUAUUUGGUAGAUUUAUAUUGUGUUAUAUUGUGAUAGCAUGUACAUAAAAGAUACCUCCUCUGCAAUAAAUAUUUAUACAAAA
Molecule: long non-coding RNA, 1628 nt
Organism: Sphaeramia orbicularis (orbiculate cardinalfish)
Lineage: Eukaryota; Metazoa; Chordata; Actinopteri; Kurtiformes; Apogonidae
Exons: 2
Source: RefSeq, a predicted model, not a curated record